This 465-nucleotide ribosomal RNA is filed under the name uncultured bacterium. RNAcentral's name for it is "bacterial SSU rRNA". It matches the Rfam family "Bacterial small subunit ribosomal RNA", at positions 330 to 792 of the family's 1533-position model. The record is from RNAcentral.
GCCAGACUCCUACGGGAGGCAGCAGUGAGGAAUAUUGGUCAAUGGGCGAGAGCCUGAACCAGCCAAGCCGCGUGAGGGAAGACGGUCCUAUGGAUUGUAAACCUCUUUUGUCGGGGAGCAAAAAGGCCUCGUGAGGCUACAAGUGAGAGUACCCGAAGAAAAAGCAUCGGCUAACUCCGUGCCAGCAGCCGCGGUAAUACGGAGGAUGCGAGCGUUAUCCGGAUUUAUUGGGUUUAAAGGGUGCGUAGGCGGACUGGAAAGUCAGCGGUAAAAUCGAGAGGCUCAACCUCUUUCCGCCGUUGAAACUGUCGGUCUUGAGUGGGCGAGAAGUAUGCGGAAUGCGUGGUGUAGCGGUGAAAUGCAUAGAUAUCACGCAGAACUCCGAUUGCGAAGGCAGCGUACCGGCGCCCAACUGACGCUGAAGCACGAAGGCGUGGGUAUCGAACAGGAUUAGAUACCCCUGUA